Molecule: unclassified non-coding RNA, 293 nt
Filed under: uncultured fungus
Lineage: Eukaryota; Fungi
Description: sequence contains ITS1
Source: RNAcentral
GGGACUACGCGGGUUUCUAAUCCCGUUCGCUCCCCUGGCUUUCGUGUCUCAGCGUCAGCACACCCCCAGCUACCUGAUUUCUCCGUUGGCGUUCCAAAUGAUAUCUACGCAUUUCACCGCUCCACCAUUUGUUCCGGUAGCCCCUAGGUGGCUCAAGACCCCCAGUAUGCCCAGCCGUUCCACGGGUGAGCCGUGGGAUUUCACAAGGCACUUAGGGGUCCGCCUACACACGCUUUAAGCCCAGUGAUUCCGCCUAACGCUCGAGGCCUCUGUAUUACCGCGGCGGCUGACAC